CGCCUCAUAGCGACAGUGUUAGCCUCAUAGCGACAGUGCGUUUGUUUUUCACAGGCUUCAUAGCAAGCUUGGACCACUUGAGACCCUGUUUGUUCUUGUUGUUUUGUUUUAAGAGGGGGAUUUUGAACCAAACUUUGCUUUUUAAAUAUUUAUUUUGUAGGCAGUUUCUAAAGUCUCCAAAUUUUGAUGGCUGGUUCAAGACCCGGAGAAAAGAAAUGACCCACAAAUUGGAGGCCCUUCAUCUAGAAGCUCUUUGUGAAGAGGACCUCCUUCUCUGGAUCCAGAAACACACAGAAGUAGAAACAGUGGACCUUGUAUUGAAGCUGAAAAAUAAGCUGGUAUGUAACUAAAGAGAUGAAGAUAUAAAAUGGACCUUUUUGUGAAAAUGUUUUUCUCAUCUGAUCUAACACUCACUCUUUUGUCUUCUACAGAAGUCAUUUUUUAAAUGAGAACAUUCAAGACUGGCAAUUGAUGAUAGAUCUCACUAGAAAUAUUUGGAUCAAAUGACUCAAAUGUAAUGACUCAAAUGGAUCAAAUGAUUCUAAAUUAUUUGAAAGACAUUUAAACAAUUUUAAAAAUUAUUUUAUGAGUAUAAAUGUAUGGCCUGCUCUUAGUAAGUGCACCAUAUGCAUGCAGUGCCCACAGAAGCCAAAAAAGUGACACCCCCUCCAUUGGCAGUGUUAAGCCAUGUGUAUGCUGGGACCUGAACCCACGUCUUCCACAAGUGUAGCCAGUGCCCUUAACUGCUGAACUCUCCAUCCCUCAAAGACACAUAAAACAGUCUUUUGAACUCUCUGAAACCAUGUCUCGCCUAGAUUUUAUGCCACAUAAUACCCUUAGGCAACAUCUGUAGAUGUACAGAAUGAUCUUUUAUUGACGUCCCUUUCCACCCCUCCCCCACUUGAUGUUCUCUACAGUUUUAGUUACUGUAAAUUCUAGGCUGAGACCUAAAGUUCCAAGUGAUCAUGCUAUAAAAGGGUGUUUAUAUAGCAAAUACAAUGUAUUGAUACAGACUCACUAAAAUCAUUCCUUAUGUAGUUGCAGGCUGACCGAGAGAAUUUACCUGUGAAACCUGACACUGUGGAGAAGUUACGGACACAUAUAGAUGCGAUUAUCCUCGCAUUACCGGAGGAUCUGCAAGGCAUACUGCUCAAGACUGGCAUGACAUGAUACUUAGCAGAUUCUCCUGCCAGAAAGGACUGUGAACCAUGAAGCAUACUGACAUUUUAUCUAGACGCACACAGGAGCUGUCUUGGUGGCAGGAGCACGGAAACCGGCAGCAGUUGCGAGAUACAGGUGGAAGGACUGAGCAUAUAAACAGACAUUUUUAGUGCAUUCUGUGGUGGUUCCACAAUACUGGAAUACCGAACGGCGUUUCCACGUCUGUAAUCAUGUUCUAAAGUGCUCUUAGGAGAGACCUGUGGGGCCAUCCAUGUAAGGCCUCCGAACUGCAGUGCCGGCACUGCAGAUAUUUUUUUAAUUGGUGCUGCUUUGCCCAAUCAAUGUUGAAACUCAGGGGAAUAUAAAAAUAAUGUUCACACUGGCUGUCUUCUUAAGAAGGAAAACUGAACUUC
RNAcentral lists this long non-coding RNA (1574 nucleotides) under Rattus norvegicus (Norway rat). RNAcentral describes it as "long non-coding RNA NONRATT011239". Lineage: Eukaryota; Metazoa; Chordata; Mammalia; Rodentia; Muridae. The record is from RNAcentral.